AGCAGCCGCCACGGUAAUACGUAGGUGGCAAGCGUUGUCCGGAAUUAUUGGGCGUAAAGGGCUCGCAGGCGGUUUCUUAAGUCUGAUGUGAAAGCCCCCGGCUCAACCGGGGAGGGUCAUUGGAAACUGGGAAACUUGAGUGCAGAAGAGGAGAGUGGAAUUCCACGUGUAGCGGUGAAAUGCGUAGAGAUGUGGAGGAACACCAGUGGCGAAGGCGACUCUCUGGUCUGUAACUGACGCUGAGGAGCGAAAGCGUGGGGAGCGAACAGGAUUAGAUACCCCUGUAGUCCCUGUCUCUUAUAC
Molecule: ribosomal RNA, 303 nt
Filed under: uncultured bacterium
Lineage: Bacteria
Description: partial 16S ribosomal RNA
Rfam family: Bacterial small subunit ribosomal RNA
Source: RNAcentral